RNAcentral lists this non-coding RNA (28 nucleotides) under Mus musculus (house mouse). Lineage: Eukaryota; Metazoa; Chordata; Mammalia; Rodentia; Muridae. The record is from RNAcentral.
UGGAGACUAUAGAUUACAUGAUGACACC